This 497-nucleotide ribosomal RNA is filed under the name uncultured bacterium. Its description in RNAcentral is "partial 16S ribosomal RNA". It matches the Rfam family "Bacterial small subunit ribosomal RNA", at positions 28 to 507 of the family's 1533-position model. The record is from RNAcentral.
GAUGAACGCUGGCGGCGUGCCUAAUACAUGCCAGUCGAGCGAACGGACGAGAAGCUUGCUUCUCUGAUGUUAGCGGCGGACGGGUGAGUAACACGUGGAUAACCUACCUAUAAGACUGGGAUAACUUCGGGAAACCGGAGCUAAUACCGGAUGAUAUUUUGAACCGCAUGGUUCAAAAGUGAAAGACGGUCUUGCUGUCACUUAUAGAUGGAUCCGCGCUGCAUUAGCUAGUUGGUAAGGUAACGGCUUACCAAGGCAACGAUGCAUAGCCGACCUGAGAGGGUGAUCGGCCACACUGGAACUGAGACACGGUCCAGACUCCUACGGGAGGCAGCAGUAGGGAAUCUUCCGCAAUGGGCGAAAGCCUGACGGAGCAACGCCGCGUGAGUGAUGAAGGUCUUCGGAUCGUAAAGCUCUGUUAUUAGGGAAGAACAUAUGUGUAAGUAACUGUGCACGUCUUGACGGUACCUAAUCAGAAAGCCACGGCUAACUACGUG